This 424-nucleotide ribosomal RNA is filed under the name uncultured bacterium. Its description in RNAcentral is "bacterial SSU rRNA". It matches the Rfam family "Bacterial small subunit ribosomal RNA", at positions 30 to 449 of the family's 1533-position model. The record is from RNAcentral.
AUUGAACGCUGGCGGCAUGCCUUACACAUGCAAGUCGAACGGCAGCACGGGAGCAAUCCUGGUGGCGAGUGGCGAACGGGUGAGUAAUAUAUCGGAACGUGCCCAGUCGUGGGGGAUAACGUAGCGAAAGCUACGCUAAUACCGCAUACGAUCUAUGGAUGAAAGCGGGGGAUCGCAAGACCUCGCGCGAUUGGAGCGGCCGAUAUCAGAUUAGGUAGUUGGUGAGGUAAAAGGCUCACCAAAGCCGACGAUCUGUAGCUGGUCUGAGAGGACGACCAGCCACACUGGGACUGAGACACGGCCCAGACUCCUACGGGAGGCAGCAGUGGGGAAUUUUUGGGACAAUGGGCGCAAGCCUGAUCCAGCAAUGCCGCGUGCAGGAUGAAGGCCUUCGGUUGGUUAAACGUUAGACGUUUUUGUUUAC